This 75-nucleotide transfer RNA is filed under the name Paramuricea clavata. It matches the Rfam family "tRNA". From Rfam's summary of the family: Transfer RNA (tRNA) molecules are approximately 80 nucleotides in length. Their secondary structure includes four short double-helical elements and three loops (D, anti-codon, and T loops). Lineage: Eukaryota; Metazoa; Cnidaria; Anthozoa; Malacalcyonacea; Plexauridae. The record is from Rfam by way of RNAcentral.
GUCUCUGUAGCUCAGUUGGUAAUAGAGCGCUGCACCAGAAUCACAGGGCCGCAGGUUCAAUUCCUGCCAGGGACC